Scylla paramamosain (green mud crab) is the source of this 1467-nucleotide long non-coding RNA. RefSeq lists it as uncharacterized. The record is from RefSeq and is a predicted model, not a curated record. The transcript has 4 exons. Lineage: Eukaryota; Metazoa; Arthropoda; Malacostraca; Decapoda; Portunidae.
CCAGCCAAGAUCAGAGUUAACCGAGACAUAUAUGGUGGAUAAAAAGCUCUUAAAAAUAUGGGUGUUCCGAGGAUAGUAUACCACUAGGGAAUGUGGGUUACAUUAGUAAUGGAGGAAUAUUUUGAGAGCAGACGAAACUAAAGUGUUGCCACGGUGACGGUGGUGGUGGGCAUGAUACAGAUGCGGGAGGUGGAGUUUGUGCCCGAUAGAGACAUGCAGCUGGACAAAUUGUGUUGGUCAUUGGUCAGACUGGAGUUUACAUGUGUACCUCCUUCACCAUCAUUGGUGGACACUUCACCAUGAGUGAUGCUUGAGCUGUCACGGUGCUGCUGCUGCUGUCUGCCAUCAUCACCCUGACACAGACCACCCUGCAGACCACCUUCAUCCUGGGUGCCACACGUCACUGCUGCUACAACUCAGAGCAACUGGAGCGCAAGCCAGGAAGGGAGAUGGUUACCUUCUUGUUGAUGUGCAAUCUUGCUAUGUGGGCGAUGAACACCUCUGAGACAUCACGAGCAGAUGCCCAUCCAGCACAGCUCAACUUGUAUGGAAUCUGGACCUGGACCAUCAUAUCAAUGCCACUGGCUUUGAUAUGUGUUUGAUAUGGCUUCUAUUGCUUUCAAGUGACCAUCUGCCUCUGUGAAAUAUGGAAGAUCUUACAAGCUCAAGCAUGAGUAUUAAGCAAGUUAUAGGAAUGCUAGUAUGAGUGUGGUGUGUCUGAAUUAGCUGUCAGAGUAUUGUAAAUAUUAUUACUUAGUCUUCCCAGUUAUGAAAUUAAGAACAGUUGUGAAGUUUGCUUUAAAACCCUUCAUUAACUUUGCCACAAAACACUUUUACAUGUUAUCAAAAGUGUGUAACUGUUAUGAUGUGUGCAUAUAUAUCAUUACUACAGAAGAAUCUGGAAUUUCCCCUCAGAUUACUUUAAUGAAUGAAGCUUGAGUUCACAGAUGUGUGGUUUGUAAAUUUCACCUGUAUUCUCUCCUCUAUGGCAGUCUGUUCUGGCAAAGUUUCAUUUGUCAAAAGCAUUACAGUUUGUAAAUGAUGUGUCUUCAUAUGCCUUCACUAGCAAUUAUGAAUUACAUUGUGGUCAUGGAUUUUGUUCUUUUAAUACAGUUGCCUCAAGAUAUUCUGAGCUUUACAAUGCUGUCUUUAGUACACUGCAAGAAAAUACAGAAAUUUCAUGUGGCAACAUUUAUUUUUAAAACAUUAUUUAUUACUUUUAAAAAUAGCAAUGUGGGGCUUCCUUAAUGCAAAUAGUCUUGCCCCAAAAAACUUGUGAUGUCAAACACUAACUUCUCUUAACACAGCACAACCAAAACCACUCAAAAUUAUACAUUAAUUUUUUUUAUAGAGCAACAUGUGUGGAAAGUGCUACCAGAAAUAUUUGCAUAACAAAUAUUUGGUUCUGGACCUUAGCACUUAUACAGUACUGCACUAACUUACACACAAGGUUAAUUAAUGAUGUAA